ACGGGUGCGGAACACGUACGCAACCUUCCUUCAAGCGGGGGAUAGCUUUCGGAAACGAAAAUUAAUACCCCAUAGCAAUGUCUGAGGGCAUCUGAGGACAUUUAAAGAUUUAUCACUUGAAGAUGGGCGUGCGCCUGAUUGGGUAGUUGGCGGGGUAACGGCCCACCAAGCCUACGAUCAGUAACUGGUGUGAGAGCACGACCAGUCACACGGGCACUGAGACACGGGCCCGACUCCUACGGGAGGCAGCAGUAAGGAAUAUUGGUCAAUGGACGCAAGUCUGAACCAGCCAUGCCGCGUGGAGGAUGAAGGUCCUCUGGAUUGUAAACUUCUUUUAUCGGAGAAGAAACCCCAGAUUUCUAUUUGGGUUGACGGUACCCGAUGAAUAAGCACCGGCUAACUCCGUGCCAGCAGCCGCGGUAAUACGGAGGGUGCAAGCGUUAUCCGGAUUCACUGGGUUUAAAGGGAGCGUAGGUGGGCUGGUAAGUCAGUGGUGAAAUCUCCGGGCUUAACUCGGAAACUGCCGUUGAUACUAUCAGUCUUGAAUGUUGUGGAGGUAAGCGGAAUAUGUCAUGUAGCGGUG
This 583-nucleotide ribosomal RNA is filed under the name uncultured bacterium. RNAcentral describes it as "bacterial SSU rRNA". It matches the Rfam family "Bacterial small subunit ribosomal RNA", at positions 102 to 683 of the family's 1533-position model. The record is from RNAcentral.